This 406-nucleotide ribosomal RNA is filed under the name uncultured bacterium. RNAcentral's name for it is "partial 16S ribosomal RNA". It matches the Rfam family "Bacterial small subunit ribosomal RNA", at positions 29 to 526 of the family's 1533-position model. The record is from RNAcentral.
AUUGAACGCUGGCGGCAGGCCUAACACAUGCAAGUCGAACGAGUGGCGGACGGGUGAGUAAUGUCUGGGAAACUGCCCGUUGGAGGGGGAUAACUACUGGAAAUGGUAGCUAAUACCGCAUACCAUCGGCGGUGCCCAGAUGGGAUUGGCUAGUGGGUGGGGUAACGGCUCACCUAGGCGACGAUCCCUAGCUGGUCUGAGAGGAGGACCAGCCACACAGGAACUGAGACACGGUCCAGACGCCUACGGGAGGCAGCAGUGGGGAAUAGUGCACAAGGGGCGCAAGCCUGAUGCAGCCAUGCCGCGUGUAUGAAGAAGGCCUUCGGGUUGUAAAGUACUUUUGGCGAGGAGGCGUUACUCGCAGAAGAAGCACCGGCUAACUCCGUGCCAGCAGCCGCGGUAAUUC